UCGAGAAUUUUUCUCAAUGGGGGCAACCCUGAAGGAGCGACGCCGCGUGAAGGAUGAAGGUCUUCGGAUUGUAAACUUCUGUCAUUGGUGAACAAGGCCCACGCAGUAACUGGUGUUGGGAUUGAUAGUAGCCGAAGAGGAAGAGACGGCUAACUCUGUGCCAGCAGCCGCGGUAAUACAGAGGUCUCAAGCGUUGUUCGGAUUCAUUGGGCGUAAAGGGUGCGUAGGUGGCGAGGUAAGUCUGGUGUGAAAUCCCGGGGCUCAACCCCGGAACUGCACUGGAUACUGCCCUGCUAGAGUACUGGAGAGGAGAUUGGAAUUUACGGUGUAGCAGUGAAAUGCGUAGAUAUCGUAAGGAAGACCAGUGGCGAAGGCGAAUCUCUGGACAGUUACUGACACUGAGGCACGAAGGCCAGGGGAGCAAA
This 425-nucleotide ribosomal RNA is filed under the name uncultured bacterium. RNAcentral's name for it is "bacterial SSU rRNA". It matches the Rfam family "Bacterial small subunit ribosomal RNA", at positions 355 to 772 of the family's 1533-position model. The record is from RNAcentral.